RNAcentral lists this ribosomal RNA (119 nucleotides) under Pteropus alecto (black flying fox). The record is from RNAcentral. Lineage: Eukaryota; Metazoa; Chordata; Mammalia; Chiroptera; Pteropodidae.
GUCUUCAGCCACACGGCCCUGAACAAGCCCGAUCCCAUCUGAUCUCGGAAGCUAAGCAGGGUCGGGCCUGGUUAGUACUUGGAUGGGAGACCAUCUAGGAAGACCAGGUGCUGUAGGCG